GUCGAACGAUGAACCACUUCGGUGGGGAUUAGUGGCGAACGGGUGAGUAACACGUGGGCAAUCUGCCCUGCACUCUGGGACAAGCCCUGGAAACGGGGUCUAAUACCGGAUACUGAUCCUCGCAGGCAUCUGCGAGGUUCGAAAGCUCCGGCGGUGCAGGAUGAGCCCGCGGCCUAUCAGCUAGUUGGUGAGGUAACGGCUCACCAAGGCGACGACGGGUAGCCGGCCUGAGAGGGCGACCGGCCACACUGGGACUGAGACACGGCCCAGACUCCUACGGGAGGCAGCAGUGGGGAAUAUUGCACAAUGGGCGAAAGCCUGAUGCAGCGACGCCGCGUGAGGGAUGACGGCCUUCGGGUUGUAAACCUCUUUCAGCAGGGAAGAAGCGAAAGUGACGGUACCUGCAGAAGAAGCGCCGGCUAACUACGUGCCAGCAGCCGCGGUAAUACGUAGGGCGCAAGCGUUGUCCGGAAUUAUUGGGCGUAAAGAGCUCGUAGGCGGCUUGUCACGUCGGUUGUGAAAGCCCGGGGCUUAACCCCGGGUCUGCAGUCGAUACGGGCAGGCUAGAGUUCGGUAGGGGAGAUCGGAAUUCCUGGUGUAGCGGUGAAAUGCGCAGAUAUCAGGAGGAACACCGGUGGCGAAGGCGGAUCUCUGGGCCGAUACUGACGCUGAGGAGCGAAAGCGUGGGGAGCGAACAGGAUUAGAUACCCUGGUAGUCCACGCCGUAAACGGUGGGCACUAGGUGUGGGCAACAUUCCACGUUGUCCGUGCCGCAGCUAACGCAUUAAGUGCCCCGCCUGGGGAGUACGGCCGCAAGGCUAAACUCAAGGAAUUGACGGGGCCCGCACAGCGGCGGAGCAUGUGGCUUAAUUCGACGCAACGCGAAGAACCUUACCAAGGCUUGACAUACACCGGAAAACCCUGGAGACAGGGUCCCCCUUGUGGUCGGUGUACAGGUGGUGCAUGGCUGUCGUCAGCUCGUGUCGUGAGAUGUUGGGUUAAGUCCCGCAACGAGCGCAACCCUUGUCCCGUGUUGCCAGCAGGCCCUUGUGGUGCUGGGGACUCACGGGAGACCGCCGGGGUCAACUCGGAGGAAGGUGGGGACGACGUCAAGUCAUCAUGCCCCUUAUGUCUUGGGCUGCACACGUGCUACAAUGGCCGGUACAAUGAGCUGCGAUACCGCGAGGUGGAGCGAAUCUCAAAAAGCCGGUCUCAGUUCGGAUUGGGGUCUGCAACUCGACCCCAUGAAGUCGGAGUCGCUAGUAAUCGCAGAUCAGCAUUGCUGCGGUGAAUACGUUCCCGGGCCUUGUACACACCGCCCGUCACGUCACGAAAGUCGGUAACACCCGAAGCCGGUGGCC
RNAcentral lists this ribosomal RNA (1361 nucleotides) under Streptomyces sp. MML2611. RNAcentral's name for it is "bacterial SSU rRNA". It matches the Rfam family "Bacterial small subunit ribosomal RNA", at positions 61 to 1435 of the family's 1533-position model. Lineage: Bacteria; Bacillati; Actinomycetota; Actinomycetes; Kitasatosporales; Streptomycetaceae. The record is from RNAcentral.